This is an RNA transcript of Phlebotomus papatasi, 3670 nucleotides long. RefSeq lists it as uncharacterized. The transcript has 10 exons. Lineage: Eukaryota; Metazoa; Arthropoda; Insecta; Diptera; Psychodidae. The record is from RefSeq and is a predicted model, not a curated record.
UUAAAUCCAGUUUGUGUUUACUUCAGGGAGAUCAAGAGUGGAGAAGCAGCUGGUGAAGCAGAAAAAAAUAGUUUUGUGCAAUUUGUAGUAAUUUAAUUAGCUUUUUCUAAUUGUACUUACUUGCUGGAGGUGAUAAUUGUGUGGCAUGUCUAAAGUUGGCUAUGAGAUGAAUUCAUCGGAUGCAUCGUCGCCUGAAACAAAAUCAAAGGUAUCUGAGGUGAAAAAGAAAAAGCACAAGAAGCAUAAGAAGCACAAAAAGUCCGGAAAGAGUGACCGUGUUGAGAAGGUGAAGAAGCAUAAGAAGCACAAAAAACGACGAAAAGAGGAUGAAAAUGAACAGGAGGCUGUUCCUAUUGUUGUACUGGAUGACGAACCGGUGCACAAGAAGCUUCUGGUGGAAAAAUCCAAUGGACAUCCGGCGGCAAAAGGUAAGAAAAUCAGCAAGAUUCCUACUGAUCCCUCCAAGUUGGUGGAAAUCAUUACAAAAAGUUUAGAUCCGACAUCUGGACCGGCUUUAGAAAUUGUCUCAUCGGAAUCUGACGACACAGAAGGUUUGGUGGAGGAUUGUGCUAGUCCGGAUGUUGCAGUAAUCGAAGAUGAUCUGAACUUGGAGGAGUUGAUGAAGCAGAAGGCGCUGCUGCAGGCUCGUCUUGGUGCCUAUCUGUCAGACUCAGAUGAUGAACAUAUUAGUAAGGCACAAAGUGGUGAGAAAGAUGGUAAAAGCAAAACAGAAUCAGAUGUCAUUUUAUUGGACGAUUCCAGUGGUGAAGCGAUCGUGAAGGUCGACAGUGCCAACAAAAGGCAUCGGAGUCGGUCGCAAAGCCACACACUCAAAUCCACUGACAAUCAUCGUCGCGGGCGCGAUGAUAGGCUCAAUGACAUGGGUAGGAGGCGUGAUCGCCAGGACAGUGACAGGAGUCGCAGCCGGCGUGAAAAUGAAAAUCGCCAUAAGGAGGAUUUGAGGCGAGAACUGGAACGGGAUAGGGAGCGAUCUUUUCGCGAACGCGAACGUGCUAAGCGUCACGAGAGGCAAGAUAUGGAACGCAAUCUUCAGCGUGAUCGAUCACGAAAUCGUGAUCAGUAUUCGGUGCGCAGGGGCAGGAGUUACGACAGAAUGGGACGCGAGAGGACGCCUGAACGAUUCAGAAAUCGGCAGUUAGGACGAGAUAAGGGGCGUGAUCGGCAUGAGAAGGAAGAAGUAAAGGACAAAUACAAAGACUCACUGAGUGAGGGUCAGACUCAUCCAAAGAAUCGAAAGGAUUCAAGUAGCGAGAGUGAGAUUGUAGACAUUGACAUCAAAGACGACGAUGAGGAUGAGGAAAAGAUCAUUGAACAGAGACGAAAACGUCGUGAGGAGCUACUUAAGAAAUUAGGAGCAGUUAGUGAGGAUAGCAAUCAAGCAUUAACUUCGCGUGAGCCUUCAGUGAGUCAUACCAUUGAGAGAAGAACAACACCAAAAAUUACAACUGUUCCAGAGUCGUCUCCCAUGAAGAAUAAAUUCGUGGAACCAGAUGCAACUCCGAAGGUUGCUCCAAUGGAAACUCCUGACAAGGCUGAAGUAGAGGAUUCUCUAACGCCUCCUAUACCGGCCUCAAGAAAGGAUCUACAGGCGAUAAUACAGGAGAAGAAGCACACGAUAGUUGUGGGCAAUAAAGUAGUCAAUCGACCAGCUAAGGAUAACAAUGCCAAAAAAGGAGAAUGGGAUAUGUUUGCAGAGCAGGAUAUUGCAUCAAACUACGAUUCUCCCAGCACCAUUGUGGCCAGUAAGCAGAUCCAAGACAAUCCAGCCCUUACAGACAAUUGGGAUGAUGCAGAGGGUUACUAUCGUGUGAGAAUUGGAGAAAUUUUGGACAAUCGCUAUGUUGUGUCUAGUUAUACUGGACAAGGUGUUUUCAGCAAUGUUGUUCGGGCACGGGAUCAAGCCAGAGGAAAUGUCAAUGUUGCCGUGAAGAUCAUCAGAAAUAAUGAAAUCAUGCAUAAGACCGGCCUUCGUGAGUUGGAGAUUCUGAAGAAGCUCAAUGAUUCUGAUCCUGAGGAUCGAUUUCACUGCUUACGCCUGUUUAGGCACUUUUUCCACAAGCAGCAUCUCUGUAUGGUUCUUGAGCCACUCUCAAUGAAUCUCAGGGAGGUGCUGAAGAAAUAUGGAAAAAAUGUGGGUCUUCAUAUUAAAGCAGUUCGAAGUUAUACUCAACAACUCCUGCUAUCUCUAAAACUACUUAAGAAAACGGGCAUUCUCCAUGCUGAUAUAAAGCCAGACAAUAUUUUGGUGAAUGAAAGUCAUCUAAUUCUGAAACUUUGUGACUUUGGAUCAGCAUCUGUUAUAACAGAUAAUGAGAUAACACCUUAUCUGGUGUCAAGAUUUUACAGAGCCCCUGAGAUCAUUCUCGGCAUUCAGUAUGAUUAUGGAAUUGAUAUGUGGUCAGCAGGAUGCACGAUCUAUGAAUUGUACACAGGUAAAAUUCUCUUCAGUGGCAAGUCGAACAAUCAAAUGCUGAAGUUCUUCAUGGAUCUCAAGGGAAAGUUUCCCAAUAAAGUCAUUCGAAGAGGACAGUUUAGAGAUCAGCACUUUGACCAGAAUUGCAAUUUUCUCUAUCAUGAGAUAGAUAAAAUAACAGAAAGGGAAAAGAUCGUAGUGCAAUCUGUCAUAAAACCCACACGCGAUCUACAGCAGGAGUUGAUUGCUGACCAAAAUUUGCCGGAUGAUCAACAUAGGAAGGUGACACAAUUGAAGGAUCUCUUGGAGAAGCUGUUUGUUUUGGAUCCUGCUAAGAGAAUAUCUCUGAAUCAGGCAUUAGCACAUCCCUUUAUUCAAGAUAAGAUGUGAAAAAAAUAUAGCAUUUUUUGGAGAGACCUUCGAUUACCUUCCGGAUGGGUUUAAUUGUGUGUGACUUAAGUGUCGAUCCCGAUUAAGAGAUUAACGUUUGAGACAUCAUCAAGGAUUAACUCAAAUAAGGAUUUUUAGGAUUUGAAAAUCGGCCAAUUACGUUCAGCUCGUGCAUUGGAUCUCGGGUUUUCCUUUUAGAAUCCUUACUGGAGAGUAGAUUUGACAUAAUUUAUUCCGGAAGGAUGUGAUUUUCGAGCGGUAAUUCAAUGAUAUUCUUGAUAGACUGACAUUCCUGGAGGGUAGGAAGUGACUGUUGCUGUGUACUUCUAAGUUCAAUCUUUACUUGUUUGCAUUUCCAGUUAUUGGGUCCGGUCGAAGGAUCUUGAACUAGGCCAAAGGCACUUUCAAAUAUCCCAACCCACCGAUUGGUCACAUGAAGGGUACCACAGCAGACCACGAAGACCAAUCCAUGGGGAUUUAUUCGUCCUUGAACUCCAGAGUGAUUGAUAUUGGGGUUAAAUGUGAAGUUAUAGUUGUUUCUCGUAGUGAUGAGUUUUUCCAAGACUGCCUCACUACCAUGGGCAUUCUCAUCCGAUACCAUGUCAUUUUGGACCAAUCUUAUGGCACACGAUGCAUCUGGCCAGAGAUCAUCAAGUGCUAGGGUGGUUUCAUUGAGUUUCCGGAAGAACCAUGAUGCAAAUUGUCGAGAUAGAACAUUAACAGGGAAGUCUUCAACAGCAACUGCUGCCACUUUUUCCGGCUGCGUAGGACUAGGUGAAAUUUCUAUGGCUUGUGCAAUACCUGAGGAAACUGGUUUAUCUUGCCAAAAACGAAUUAUUCGUUGAA